Molecule: ribosomal RNA, 830 nt
Filed under: Landouria winteriana
Lineage: Eukaryota; Metazoa; Mollusca; Gastropoda; Stylommatophora; Camaenidae
Description: partial 16S ribosomal RNA
Source: RNAcentral
GCAUAAUGGGUUAACUAGCAUUGAAGGAUAAAAAUUCACGAAUUAGUUUGAGCUAAAUAUUGAUGGGUAUUAGAAUUAAAGAUUAAAUGUGGCAAAAUUUUGAUUAAGCAAUAUUUAGGGGUGAAAUGCCAACAAAAACUAGGAUAGCUUGAUAUCCUUUAAAAGUAUUCAGUACGUAAAUAGAUGUGCAGUGGUCAGGCUUCAUAUAAAUAUUAAUAGUUAUGGAAUAACGAAAUAAAGUUUAACAACUAAUUUAUUUUAUUAUAUAGUACAAAAAUAAUUACGAUUAUAUCUAUUAAGGGUUUGUAAAAUAAUUUUAAAACUUAUUAACAAUGUUACCAUAAGUAUUUUUGAAGUUCCUUACAAAGAACUCGGCAAGAACUUUCUCAACUGUUUAUCAAAAACAUAACUGUGAGAUUUUAUUCAUAGCUUUUUCUGCUCAGUGAUACUUAAACAGCCGCAGUACUCUGACUGUGCAAAGGUAGCAUAAUCAAUUGACUCAUAAUUAGAGCCCGGAAUGAAUGAAGGAAUGGGGAGGUACUGUUUCGUAAGGAAAGAUAGAAAUUAAUUAUCAAGUGAAAAUGCUUGAAAAGAAAUAAUAGACGAGAAGACCCUAGAAAUUUUUAUGAAGAUAUAAAGUUAAGUUUUUGUUGGGGCGACAGAAUAACAUAUAAAACUUAUUUAUAUAAAUUUGAAAUUUUUAAAUUGAUUAAUUAAAUUACUCUAGGGAUAACAGCAUAAUAUUAAAAAGUUUGUGACCUCGAUGUUGGACUAGGGAACCUAAGUUUAGAAGGCUAAUUUUGUUGCUCUGUUCGAGCAUAAACCCCUAC